Molecule: ribosomal RNA, 470 nt
Filed under: uncultured bacterium
Lineage: Bacteria
Description: bacterial SSU rRNA
Rfam family: Bacterial small subunit ribosomal RNA
Source: RNAcentral
GGGGGAAUUUUGGACAAUGGGCGAAAGCCUGAUCCAGCAAUGCCGCGUGUGUGAAGAAGGCCUUCGGGUUGUAAAGCACUUUUGUCCGGAAAGAAAUGGCUCUGGUUAAUACCUGGGGUCGAUGACGGUACCGGAAGAAUAAGGACCGGCUAACUACGUGCCAGCAGCCGCGGUAAUACGUAGGGUCCAAGCGUUAAUCGGAAUUACUGGGCGUAAAGCGUGCGCAGGCGGUUGUGCAAGACCGAUGUGAAAUCCCCGGGCUUAACCUGGGAAUUGCAUUGGUGACUGCACGGCUAGAGUGUGUCAGAGGGGGGUAGAAUUCCACGUGUAGCAGUGAAAUGCGUAGAGAUGUGGAGGAAUACCGAUGGCGAAGGCAAUCUCCUGGACCUGUACUGACGCUCAUGCACGAAAGCGUGGGGAGCAAACAGGAUUAGAUACCCUGGUAGUCCACGCCCUAAGCGAUGUCAACU